This 433-nucleotide ribosomal RNA is filed under the name uncultured bacterium. RNAcentral describes it as "partial 16S ribosomal RNA". It matches the Rfam family "Bacterial small subunit ribosomal RNA", at positions 29 to 507 of the family's 1533-position model. The record is from RNAcentral.
AACGAACGCUGGCGGCAUGCCUAACACAUGCAAGUCGAACGAGACCUCCGGGUCUAGUGGCGCACGGGUGCGUAACGCGUGGGAACCUGCCCGUAGGUUCGGAAUAACUCCCCGAAAGGGGUGCUAAUACCGGAUAAUUUCUUCGGACCAAAGAUUUAUCGACUUUGGAUGGGCCCGCGUUGGUUUAGCCUGUUGGUAGGGUAAAAGCCUACCAAGGCGACGAUCCAUAGCUGGUCUGAGAGGCUGAUCCGCCACACUGGGGCGGAGACACGGCCCAGAAUACUACGGGAGGCAGGAGUGGGGAAUAUAGGACAAUGGGCGAAAGGCUGAACCAGCAAGGCCGCGUGAGUGAUGAAGGCCUGAGGGAAGUAAAGCUCUUUUACCCGGGAUGGUAAUGACAGUACCGGGAGAAUAAGCACCGGCUAACUCCGUG